AUCCAACUGACGAGUGCUAAAUAGGACGAAACAUGCAUUUUGGAU
This is a non-coding RNA of Schistosoma curassoni, 45 nucleotides long. The record is from Rfam. NCBI's taxonomy places the organism in Eukaryota, Metazoa, Platyhelminthes, Trematoda, Strigeidida, Schistosomatidae.